UAAUACGAAGGGUGCUAGCGUUGUUCGGAAUUAUUGGGCGUAAAGCGUACGUAGGCGGUUCGGUAAGUCGAUUGUGAAAUACCCGAGCUCAACUUGGGAAUUGCAAUCGAAACUGCCUUACUAGAGUUUAGUGGGGGAUAGUGGAAUUUCUAGUGUAGGGGUGAAAUCCGUAGAUAUUAGGAGGAACAUCAGUGGCGAAGGCGACUAUCUACGCUAAUACUGACGCUAAGGUACGAAGGCGUGGGGAGCAAACAGGAUUAGAUACCCUGGUAGUCCACGCAGUAAACUAUGAGUGCUAGUUGUCGGGAUCUUAGAUUUCGGUGGCGAAGCUAACGCGUUAAGCACUCCGCCUGGGGACUACGAUCGCAAGAUUAAAACUCAAAGGAAUUGACGGGGACCCGCACAAGCAGUGGAUCAUGUGGUUUAAUUCGAUGCUACACGAAAAACCUUACCAACCCUUGCAUCUAGAUGACAGAUACAGAGACGUAUCCUUGGAGCAAUCCACAUUUAAGACAGGU
Molecule: ribosomal RNA, 518 nt
Filed under: uncultured Anaplasma sp.
Lineage: Bacteria; Pseudomonadati; Pseudomonadota; Alphaproteobacteria; Rickettsiales; Anaplasmataceae
Description: bacterial SSU rRNA
Rfam family: Bacterial small subunit ribosomal RNA
Source: RNAcentral